GUUCUUUAUUGGAUUCUCAGAUUAUAUGUAUAUGAGUGGGUGAGAGGUAUUUUUUGUAGACCAAAAACCUCCUGCUAAUACUUUUAUUGUCCGCCACUAAUUUGCGUGGUUGGGUAAUCAAAAGUUUACUCAUAUGGCUUGAAAGCGAUUUGAGAUGUCGGCUGGGUCCAAGAGACGUGUAUUUCCAGUGGGCUGCUCUCAUUUUGAAAACAUGGGUCGAUAAUUUUCCUGGAUUCUGAACAUUCUGCUUUCUG
This 254-nucleotide unclassified non-coding RNA is filed under the name Hevea brasiliensis (rubber tree). The record is from RNAcentral. Lineage: Eukaryota; Viridiplantae; Streptophyta; Magnoliopsida; Malpighiales; Euphorbiaceae.